Phrynosoma platyrhinos (Desert horned lizard) is the source of this 74-nucleotide non-coding RNA. Lineage: Eukaryota; Metazoa; Chordata; Lepidosauria; Squamata; Phrynosomatidae. The record is from the annotation of a GenBank genome assembly.
GUCCCAAUGUGGUAUAAUGGUUUGAGUGUUGGAUUAUGACUCUAAAGACCAGGGUUCAAUUUCUUGUUUGGCCA